RNAcentral lists this ribosomal RNA (776 nucleotides) under uncultured Neocallimastigales. Its description in RNAcentral is "partial large subunit ribosomal RNA". It matches the Rfam family "Eukaryotic large subunit ribosomal RNA", at positions 22 to 635 of the family's 3401-position model. Lineage: Eukaryota; Fungi; Neocallimastigomycota; Neocallimastigomycetes; Neocallimastigales. The record is from RNAcentral.
GGUACACGCUGUGACUAGCAUAUCAAUAAGCGGAGGAAAAGAAACUAACAAGGAUUCCCCUAGUAACGGCGAGUGAAGCGGGAAGAGCUCAAAUUUGAAAUCUUAAAGGGUUUCCCUUUACGAAUUGUAGUUUAAAGAAGUGUUUUCUGUUGAGGUUUUGGUAAAAGUUCUUUGGAAUAGGACAUCAUAGAGGGUGAGAAUCCCGUAUUUGACCUUUACUUUCAACUUUGUGAUACACUUUCAAAGAGUCGGAUUGUUUGGGAAUGCAGUCCAAAAUGGGUGGUAAAUUUCAUCUAAAGCUAAAUAUUGGCGAGAGACCGAUAGCGAACAAGUACCGUGAGGGAAAGAUGAAAAGAACUUUGAAAAGAGAGUUAAACAGUACGUGAAAUUGUCAAAAGGGAAGCGUUUGACACCAGUGUUGUUUUUCUGAAAAUCAAUUAAGGAACUGUUUAUGCUAAGCUGUUUAGACUUUAUCAGCUAAUCUGUUUAGUUUUGAGCUUUUCUUUAAUGCACUUUUCAGUUAACAAGUCAACAUCAAUUUCUUUUGCUGUAAAAAAGCUUGAGGAAGGUGGCUUGAGAUUCGUCUUAAGUGUUUAUAGCCUCUUGCCUAUGCAGUCGGAGAGAUUGAGGUCUGCAGCGUAGAUCCUUCGGGGCUAAAUGCAUUUGUGCUAAGUUAUAGCAUUUUAUAGACAACUUGUUGACUAUGAUUUGUCUUGUAGCUUACUCGCUUAUGUUAUUUUACCUACGCUUAGGAUGUUGAAGAUGUAGCACAUCAU